This 1367-nucleotide ribosomal RNA is filed under the name uncultured bacterium. Its description in RNAcentral is "bacterial SSU rRNA". It matches the Rfam family "Bacterial small subunit ribosomal RNA", at positions 28 to 1381 of the family's 1533-position model. The record is from RNAcentral.
GACGAACGCUGGCGGCGUGCCUAAUACAUGCAAGUAGAACGCUGAAGGAGGAGCUUGCUUCUCUGGAUGAGUUGCGAACGGGUGAGUAACGCGUAGGUAACCUGCCUGGUAGCGGGGGAUGACUAUUGGAAACGAUAGCUAAUACCGCAUAAGAGUGGAUGUUGCAUGACAUUUGCUUAAAAGGUGCACUUGCAUCACUACCAGAUGGACCUGCGUUGUAUUAGCUAGUUGGUGGGGUAACGGCUCACCAAGGCGACGAUACAUAGCCGACCUGAGAGGGUGAUCGGCCACACUGGGACUGAGACACGGCCCAGACUCCUACGGGAGGCAGCAGUAGGGAAUCUUCGGCAAUGGACGGAAGUCUGACCGAGCAACGCCGCGUGAGUGAAGAAGGUUUUCGGAUCGUAAAGCUCUGUUGUAAGAGAAGAACGAGUGUGAGAGUGGAAAGUUCACACUGUGACGGUAUCUUACCAGAAAGGGACGGCUAACUACGUGCCAGCAGCCGCGGUAAUACGUAGGUCCCGAGCGUUGUCCGGAUUUAUUGGGCGUAAAGCGAGCGCAGGCGGUUAGAUAAGUCUGAAGUUAAAGGCUGUGGCUUAACCAUAGUAGGCUUUGGAAACUGUUUAACUUGAGUGCAAGAGGGGAGAGUGGAAUUCCAUGUGUAGCGGUGAAAUGCGUAGAUAUAUGGAGGAACACCGGUGGCGAAAGCGGCUCUCUGGCUUGUAACUGACGCUGAGGCUCGAAAGCGUGGGGAGCAAACAGGACUAGAUACCCUGGUAGUCCACGCUGUAAACGAUGAGUGCUAGGUGUUAGACCCUUUCCGGGGUUUAGUGCCGUAGCUAACGCAUUAAGCACUCCGCCUGGGGAGUACGACCGCAAGGUUGAAACUCAAAGGAAUUGACGGGGGCCCGCACAAGCGGUGGAGCAUGUGGUUUAAUUCGAAGCAACGCGAAGAACCUUACCAGGUCUUGACAUCCCUCUGACCGCUCUAGAGAUAGAGUUUUCCUUCGGGACAGAGGUGACAGGUGGUGCAUGGUUGUCGUCAGCUCGUGUCGUGAGAUGUUGGGUUAAGUCCCGCAACGAGCGCAACCCCUAUUGUUAGUUGCCAUCAUUUAGUUGGGCACUCUAGCGAGACUGCCGGUAAUAAACCGGAGGAAGGUGGGGAUGACGUCAAAUCAUCAUGCCCCUUAUGACCUGGGCUACACACGUGCUACAAUGGCUGGUACAACGAGUCGCAAGCCGGUGACGGCAAGCUAAUCUCUUAAAGCCAGUCUCAGUUCGGAUUGUAGGCUGCAACUCGCCUACAUGAAGUCGGAAUCGCUAGUAAUCGCGGAUCAGCACGCCGCGGUGAAUACGUUCCCGGGCCU